UACGUAGGGGGCGAGCGUUGUCCGAAGUUACUGGGCGUAAAGCGCGCGUAGGCGGGGGGUUAAGUGAGAGGUGAAAGGCUGGGGCUCAACCUCAUGCAGUGCCUCUCAUACUGGCCUUCUUGAGGGCGGUAGGGAGAAGUGGAAUGGCUGGUGUAGCGGUGGAAUGCGCAGAUAUCAGGAGGAACACCAAUAGCGAAGGCAGCUCGCUGGGACGUUACUGACACUGAGGCGCGAAAGCGUGGGGAGCGAACAGG
Molecule: ribosomal RNA, 254 nt
Filed under: uncultured bacterium
Lineage: Bacteria
Description: partial 16S ribosomal RNA
Rfam family: Bacterial small subunit ribosomal RNA
Source: RNAcentral